This 395-nucleotide ribosomal RNA is filed under the name barley rhizosphere bacterium LJ120. RNAcentral describes it as "bacterial SSU rRNA". It matches the Rfam family "Bacterial small subunit ribosomal RNA", at positions 24 to 449 of the family's 1533-position model. The record is from RNAcentral.
UCAGAACGAACGCUGGCGGCAGGCUUAACACAUGCAAGUCGAACGCCCCGCAAGGGGAGUGGCAGACGGGUGAGUAACGCGUGGGAAUCUACCCAAUUCUUCGGAACAACUGAGGGAAACUUCAGCUAAUACCGGAUGUGCCCUUCGGGGGAAAGAUUUAUCGGAAUUGGAUGAGCCCGCGUUGGAUUAGCUAGUUGGUGGGGUAAAGGCCUACCAAGGCGACGAUCCAUAGCUGGUCUGAGAGGAUGAUCAGCCACACUGGGACUGAGACACGGCCCAGACUCCUACGGGAGGCAGCAGUGGGGAAUAUUGGACAAUGGGCGCAAGCCUGAUCCAGCCAUGCCGCGUGAGUGAUGAAGGUCUUAGGAUUGUAAAGCUCUUUCACCGGUGAAGAU